UACGUAGGGAGCAAGCGUUGUUCGGAUUUACUGGGCGUAAAGGGCGCGUAGGUGGCCAACUAAGUCAGACGUGAAAUCCCUCGGCUUAACCGGGGAACUGCGUCUGAUACUGGAUGGCUUGAGUUCGGGAGAGGGAUGCGGAAUUCCAGGUGUAGCGGUGAAAUGCGUAGAUAUCUGGAGGAACACCGGUGGCGAAGGCGGCAUCCUGGACCGACACUGACACUGAGGAGCGAAAGCCAGGGGAGCAAACGGG
This 253-nucleotide ribosomal RNA is filed under the name uncultured bacterium. RNAcentral describes it as "partial 16S ribosomal RNA". It matches the Rfam family "Bacterial small subunit ribosomal RNA", at positions 524 to 776 of the family's 1533-position model. The record is from RNAcentral.